AUAAUGGGUCAGCGACUUAUAUUCUGUAGCAAGGUUAACCGAAUAGGGGAGCCGAAGGGAAACCGAGUCUUAACUGGGCGUUAAGUUGCAGGGUAUAGACCCGAAACCCGGUGAUCUAGCCAUGGGCAGGUUGAAGGUUGGGUAACACUAACUGGAGGACCGAACCGACUAAUGUUGAAAAAUUAGCGGAUGACUUGUGGCUGGGGGUGAAAGGCCAAUCAAACCGGGAGAUAGCUGGUUCUCCCCGAAAGCUAUUUAGGUAGCGCCUCGUGAAUUCAUCUCCGGGGGUAGAGCACUGUUUCGGCAAGGGGGUCAUCCCGACUUACCAACCCGAUGCAAACUGCGAAUACCGGAGAAUGUUAUCACGGGAGACACACGGCGGGUGCUAACGUCCGUCGUGAAGAGGGAAACAACCCAGACCGCCAGCUAAGGUCCCAAAGUCAUGGUUAAGUGGGAAACGAUGUGGGAAGGCCCAGACAGCCAGGAUGUUGGCUUAGAAGCAGCCAUCAUUUAAAGAAAGCGUAAUAGCUCACUGGUCGAGUCGGCCUGCGCGGAAGAUGUAACGGGGCUAAACCAUGCACCGAAGCUGCGGCAGCGACACUAUGUGUUGUUGGGUAGGGGAGCGUUCUGUAAGCCUGUGAAGGUGGCCUGUGAGGGUUGCUGGAGGUAUCAGAAGUGCGAAUGCUGACAUAAGUAACGAUAAAGCGGGUGAAAAGCCCGCUCGCCGGAAGACCAAGGGUUCCUGUCCAACGUUAAUCGGGGCAGGGUGAGUCGACCCCUAAGGCGAGGCCGAAAGGCGUAGUCGAUGGGAAACAGGUUAAUAUUCCUGUACUUGGUGUUACUGCGAAGGGGGGACGGAGAAGGCUAUGUUGGCCGGGCGACGGUUGUCCCGGUUUAAGCGUGUAGGCUGGUUUUCCAGGCAAAUCCGGAAAAUCAAGGCUGAGGCGUGAUGACGAGGCACUACGGUGCUGAAGCGACAAAUGCCCUGCUUCCAGGAAAAGCCUCUAAGCAUCAGGUAACAUCAAAUCGUACCCCAAACCGACACAGGUGGUCAGGUAGAGAAUACCAAGGCGCUUGAGAGAACUCGGGUGAAGGAACUAGGCAAAAUGGUGCCGUAACUUCGGGAGAAGGCACGCUGAUAUGUAGGUGAAGCGACUUGCUCGUGGAGCUGAAAUCAGUCGAAGAUACCAGCUGGCUGCAACUGUUUAUUAAAAACACAGCACUGUGCAAACACGAAAGUGGACGUAUACGGUGUGACGCCUGCCCGGUGCCGGAAGGUUAAUUGAUGGGGUUAGCGGUAACGCGAAGCUCUUGAUCGAAGCCCCGGUAAACGGCGGCCGUAACUAUAACGGUCCUAAGGUAGCGAAAUUCCUUGUCGGGUAAGUUCCGACCUGCACGAAUGGCGUAAUGAUGGCCAGGCUGUCUCCACCCGAGACUCAGUGAAAUUGAACUCGCUGUGAAGAUGCAGUGUACCCGCGGCAAGACGGAAAGACCCCGUGAACCUUUACUAUAGCUUGACACUGAACAUUGAGCCUUGAUGUGUAGGAUAGGUGGGAGGCUUUGAAGUGUGGACGCCAGUCUGCAUGGAGCCGACCUUGAAAUACCACCCUUUAAUGUUUGAUGUUCUAACGUGGGCCCCUUACCGGGGUUGCGGACAGUGUCUGGUGGGUAGUUUGACUGGGGCGGUCUCCUCCUAAAGAGUAACGGAGGAGCACGAAGGUUGGCUAAUCCUGGUCGGACAUCAGGAGGUUAGUGCAAUGGCAUAAGCCAGCUUGACUGCGAGCGUGACGGCGCGAGCAGGUGCGAAAGCAGGUCAUAGUGAUCCGGUGGUUCUGAAUGGAAGGGCCAUCGCUCAACGGAUAAAAGGUACUCCGGGGAUAACAGGCUGAUACCGCCCAAGAGUUCAUAUCGACGGCGGUGUUUGGCACCUCGAUGUCGGCUCAUCACAUCCUGGGGCUGAAGUAGGUCCCAAGGGUAUGGCUGUUCGCCAUUUAAAGUGGUACGCGAGCUGGGUUUAGAACGUCGUGAGACAGUUCGGUCCCUAUCUGCCGUGGGCGCUGGAGAACUGAGGGGGGCUGCUCCUAGUACGAGAGGACCGGAGUGGACGCAUCACUGGUGUUCGGGUUGUCAUGCCAAUGGCACUGCCCGGUAGCUAAAUGCGGAAGAGAUAAGUGCUGAAAGCAUCUAAGCACGAAACUUGCCCCGAGAUGAGUUCUCCCUGACUCCUUGAGAGUCCUGAAGGAACGUUGAAGACGACGACGUUGAUAGGCCGGGUGUGUAAGCGCAGCGAUGCGUUGAGCUAACCGGUACUAAUGAACCGUGAGGCUUAACCUUACAACGCCGAAG
RNAcentral lists this ribosomal RNA (2346 nucleotides) under Escherichia coli. RNAcentral's name for it is "partial 23S ribosomal RNA". It matches the Rfam family "Bacterial large subunit ribosomal RNA", at positions 612 to 2925 of the family's 2925-position model. Lineage: Bacteria; Pseudomonadati; Pseudomonadota; Gammaproteobacteria; Enterobacterales; Enterobacteriaceae. The record is from RNAcentral.